Molecule: ribosomal RNA, 509 nt
Filed under: uncultured bacterium
Lineage: Bacteria
Description: partial 16S ribosomal RNA
Rfam family: Bacterial small subunit ribosomal RNA
Source: RNAcentral
AAUGAACGCCGGCGGCGUGCUUAACACAUGCAAGUCGAACGAGAAAACUCUUUCGGGAGUUAGUAAAGUGGCGGACGAGUUAAUAACACGUGAGAAUCUACCCCUCAGUGAAGAAUACCCUCGAGAAAUCGAGGCUAAUGCUGCAUACGUCUCUACAGAGAGAUCUGUUUAGAGAAAGGUGGCCUCUUUGCUGCCGCUGAGGGAUGAGCUUGCGCACUAUUAGUUAGUUGGUGGGGUAAAGGCCUACCAAGACUAUGAUGGUUAGCCGGCCUGAGAGGGUGUACGGCAACGCUGGAACUUAGACACGGUCCAGACUCCUACGGGGGGCAGCAGUGAGGAAUAUUGCGCAAUGGGCGAAAGCCUGACGGAGCAACGCCGCGUGAGUGAUGAAGGUCUUCGGAUCGUAAAACUCUGUUGUUAGGGAAGAACAAAUUUGUUAGUAACUGAACAAGUCUUGACGGUACCUAACCAGAAAGCCACGGCUAACUACGUGCCAGCCGCCGCCGUAA